AGGACCAUACUUAUAGGGAUCCUUUCUAUAGUUCUUGACUAGGGAAUGUGUUUCUAAAGUGUUGUCUUGCUACCCACGAUGACGAGUUGCGAUGUUUCUUUCUGAGCGCGAAUCGGAUAGAAGGCUUUGGGUCAAACCAUGCGCCUUCUAUCAUUGAUGAACGUUCCUGUUGCCUUUGGUGUCGGGAGGAAAGGGACGUGAUCCGAGUGGU
Small nucleolar RNA from Engraulis encrasicolus (European anchovy), 211 nucleotides. RefSeq annotates it as small nucleolar RNA U3. NCBI's taxonomy places the organism in Eukaryota, Metazoa, Chordata, Actinopteri, Clupeiformes, Engraulidae. The record is from RefSeq and is a predicted model, not a curated record. The transcript has a single exon.